Molecule: ribosomal RNA, 433 nt
Filed under: uncultured bacterium
Lineage: Bacteria
Description: partial 16S ribosomal RNA
Rfam family: Bacterial small subunit ribosomal RNA
Source: RNAcentral
AACGAACGCUGGCGGCAUGCCUAACACGUGCAAGUCGAACGAGACCUUCGGGUCUAGUGGCGCACGGGUGCGUAACGCGUGGGAACCUGCCCUUAGGUUCGGAAUAACUCCCCGAAAGGGGUGCUAAUACCGGAUAAUGUCUUCGGACCAAAGAUUUAUCGCCUUUGGAUGGGCCCGCGUUGGAUUAGCUAGUUGGUAGGGUAAAAGCCUACCAAGGCGACGAUCCGUAGCUGGUCUGAGAGGAUGAUCAGCCACACUGGGACUGAGACACGGCCCAGACUCCUACGGGAGGCAGCAGUGGGGAAUAUUGGACAAUGGGCGAAAGCCUGAUCCAGCAAUGCCGCGUGAGUGAUGAAGGCCUUAGGGUUGUAAAGCUCUUUUACCCGGGAUGAUAAUGACAGUACCGGGAGAAUAAGCUCCGGCUAACUCCGUG